RNAcentral lists this unclassified non-coding RNA (307 nucleotides) under Hevea brasiliensis (rubber tree). Lineage: Eukaryota; Viridiplantae; Streptophyta; Magnoliopsida; Malpighiales; Euphorbiaceae. The record is from RNAcentral.
UUUACAUGUUCUUGUUGGUCUGGAGCAGUUGUUUGAGGAAGACACUUUAAAUUGCUGAAUACUCCAAUGACUCAGUAGAUAAGUUGGGCCCACAGCAAUAGGCAUAACAGGCUUCCUUAGUCGGUUGACCAAUUGCUGCUUCCAAAAGCUUUCCGUAGGGCAGUCCUUGACAACGUACUUUUUUGUGGAGUUAAUGAAUCUGAGAUUUCAUUUUUGUUCUCACUUUCAUCCCCUUUAAUCUCACAUGUAUAGUUUUUUCGUUGCAGUAUAAAGGAUAACUUCUGAACAAGUUCAGCCACCUUAUCUG